UACAGAGGUCUCAAGCGUUGUUCGGAUUCAUUGGGCGUAAAGAGCUCGUAGGCGGCUUGUCGCGUCGACUGGGAAAACCCGCGGCUCAACCGCGGGCCUGCAGCCGAUACGGGCAGGCUAGAGUUCGGUAGGGGAGACUGGAAUUCCUGGUGUAGCGGUGAAAUGCGCAGAUAUCAGGAGGAACCCCGGUGGCGAAGGCGGGUCUCUGGGCCGAUACUGACGCUGAGGAGCGAAAUCGUGGGGAGCGAACAGG
Molecule: ribosomal RNA, 253 nt
Filed under: uncultured bacterium
Lineage: Bacteria
Description: partial 16S ribosomal RNA
Rfam family: Bacterial small subunit ribosomal RNA
Source: RNAcentral